Quercus lobata is the source of this 1125-nucleotide RNA transcript. It is a transcript of the gene named GDT1-like protein 5, with no coding region annotated. The transcript has 13 exons. NCBI's taxonomy places the organism in Eukaryota, Viridiplantae, Streptophyta, Magnoliopsida, Fagales, Fagaceae. The record is from RefSeq and is a predicted model, not a curated record.
ACCGACAUUAAUAAAAUUAAAAUUCUCUCUCUUCUAUUAUUUUAUUUCUCCUUAAUCCGAGUUAGUAAACUAUACACGACACAGAAUGAGUGAUACCCCUCUAAGUUGUAAGUGUCUUAAGACUCUCUAAGCACUACCCUCUACCCAACAACCAAAAAUCAGAGAGAAGUGACUUUUAGACUCUUCUGAUCUCAGCUUUUCUCUGUGAUAGAAGAAAGCAAACAUGAGCUCUCUUGUACAGGGUCUCAUCAAGUCGCUUGCCAUGACUGUGCUCUCUGAGCUCGGCGACAACACAUUUUUCGCCACAGCAAUCCUGGCUAUGCGUCACCCUAGGAGACCUGUCUUGCUCGGUUGCCUCGCAUCUUUGUCUGUGAUGACUGUUCUCUCUGCUCUCGUUGGCUGGGCUACUCCUAAUCUGAUCUCUCAUAAAUGGGCACAUCACAUAACAACAUUGUUGUUCUUUGUGUUCGGGCUAUGGUCUUUAUGGGAUGGAAUUAAAGAUGAUGGAGAUGAUGAUGAGUUCGCUGAAGUUGAAGCAAGACUGGAUGCUGAAUUGAACUCUGACAAAUGAACUACCAAAAAGAAAAGUAAGGAUGAUGAUGAAUUGAAAAGGCAAAAACGACCGUUUCUCUCACAAUUCUUUUCACCAAUCUUUUUGAAGGCAUUUUCUGUUACUUUUUUCGGUGAAUGGGGUGACAAGAGCCAGCUGGCUACCAUAGGUUUGGCUGCAGAUGAGAACCCACUUGGUGUUGUUCUUGGUGGAAUUAUAGGACAAGCACUGUGUACUGUUGCAGCUGUCCUUGGUGGGAAGAGCUUGGCAUCUCGAAUAUCUGAGAAAAUAGUUGCGCUCUCAGGUGGAGUUCUUUUCAUAGUUUUUGGGAUUCAAUCCUUUCUUUCAACGGUUGAGUCAUGAUGCAUAUGAUCAAGGUAACACAUUGUAGAGAGAUCGAGUUGGAUCAUGAGGCGGCUUCAUUUCCCCUGUUUUAAAUUUUCCACCUUGGAUAUGUUUAAUAUGUUAAUUAGAACCUCUCAUGUAUAACAUUUUUGAGUACUUUGUACCAUGGAAAAUGCAUGUAAUGUUUGAUUUACCUUUGCAAUAUGACUACUGACUAGCGCAUUUAACUA